UGCGAGUGAGCGCAACAGCUCAUAUUUAACUGGGCCUCGUGGCCGAGUUGUAAUUUGUAGAAGGUGCUUCGGGCGCGUUCGCGGUCCAAGUCCCUUGGAACAGGGCGUCGCAGAGGGUGAGAAUCCCGUACGCGGCCGACGACCAAGCCCGGGUGAAGCCCUUUCGACGAGUCGAGUUGUUUGGGAAUGCAGCUCUAAAUGGGUGGUAAAUUUCAUCUAAAGCUAAAUAUCUGCCGGAGACCGAUAGCGCACAAGUAGAGUGAUCGAAAGAUGAAAAGCACUUUGAAAAGAGAGUCAAACAGUACGUGAAAUUGUUGAAAGGGAAGCGCUUGCAACCAGACUCGUUCGCGGGUGUUCAGCCGCUCCUCGGGGCGGUGCACUCUCCCGCGUUGGGCCAGCAUCGGUUCUGGCGGCCGGACAAAGGCCUCGGGAACGUAGCUUUCUCCGGAAAGUGUUAUAGCCCGGGGUGCAAUGCGGCCAGCCGGGACCGAGGAACGCGCAUCGCUAGGAUGCUGGCGUAAUGGUUGCCAGCGACCCGUCUUGAAACACGGACCAAGGAGUCGACCAACUAUGCGAGUGUUUGGGCGUAAAACCCCCGCGCGUAAUGAAAGUGAACGGAGGUGGGAGCUUUCGGGCGCACCAUCGACCGAUCCAGAUGUCUUCGGAUGGAUUUGAGUAUGAGCCUAGUUGGUCGGACCCGAAAGUGAGUGGACUGGUUCUCGAUCCUUACGAAGUAAUGCUAAUCGGACUUUAGAAUGGUGAACUAUGCGUGAAUAGGGUGAAGCCAGAGGAAACUCUGGUGGAGGCUCGCAGCGGUUCUGACGUGCAAAUCGAUCGUCAAAUUUGCGCAUAGGGGCGAAAGACUAAUCGAACCAUUUAGUAGCUGGUUCCCGUCGAAGUUUCCCUCAGGAUAGCAGCAACGAAAAAUCAGUUUCAUGAGGUAGAGCAAACGAUUAGAGGUCUUGGGGUUGAAAUCGACCUUAACCUAUUCUCGAACUUCGAAUAUGUGAGAAGUCCUUGUUACUUAGUUGAACGUGGACACUGAAUUAUCGUUUUAGCCCUCGGUUG
This 1068-nucleotide ribosomal RNA is filed under the name Ampliotrema lepadinoides. RNAcentral describes it as "eukaryotic LSU rRNA". It matches the Rfam family "Eukaryotic large subunit ribosomal RNA", at positions 88 to 1139 of the family's 3401-position model. The record is from RNAcentral. Lineage: Eukaryota; Fungi; Ascomycota; Lecanoromycetes; Ostropales; Graphidaceae.